RNAcentral lists this long non-coding RNA (546 nucleotides) under Marmota monax (woodchuck). Lineage: Eukaryota; Metazoa; Chordata; Mammalia; Rodentia; Sciuridae. The record is from RNAcentral.
UGAUACUUGAAUCAAGGCCUGAAUAAACUGCUGAAAGAAGAAUCCUGUGUCGUGUUUUCCCUUGCCGGCGAGGGGUCGCGACAAUUGGUGGCCCGCUCGGGGAACUGAAUAUUCCUCGAACCCAGGAUCCAGAACUUUCAGCAGUCAGGGUGGUGCACCGGUAAGUUCCCAGGUAACUGGGAAUCCACAAGCAAAUAGCGGGACGCUCCUCUGUAAAUACAGAGAGAGCGGGGAAAAAUAAUAAAACAAGACGCUCCUCUGUAGCCAAAGAGAGAGCGGGGUUUUUGUACUUUCACUUUCUUUAUAGCUUUAAAAACAUUAUGGGCGUUGCUUCUUCAAGCCCAAUUUUGUUGGCCCUGGAUGGGUUGCUACGUUCAAAAGGACUUAAGGUAAAGCAGAGCACUUUGCAAAGGUUUUUGAGGGAAGCUGAUACAGCGGCUCCUUGGUUUGCCUUUUCAGGGAGUCUUACGGUUCCCAGCUGGGACAAAUUAGGAAAGGAUCUGGAUUUCGCUCAUGAGCAAGGUACCUUGCAGGGUGGCGUUAUAC